GACGAACGCUGGCGGCGUGCUUAACACAUGCAAGUCGAACGGUUCUGCCCUGUUUUUUGCGGGGUGGGUCAGUGGCGACCGGGUGAGUAACACGUGAGUAACCUGCCCCUCACUUCUGGAUAACCGCUUGAAAGGGUGGCUAAUACGGGGUGUUCUGGCUGUGCCGCAUGGUGUGGCUGGGAAAGAUUCACUUUUGUGGUGUUUUGGUGGGGGAUGGGCUCGCGGCCUAUCAGCUUGUUGGUGGGGUGAUGGCCUGCCAAGGCUUUGACGGGUAGCCGGCAUGAGAGGGUGGGCGGUCACACUGGGAAUGAGAUACGGCCCAGACUGCUGCGGGAGGCAGCAGUGGGGGGUAUUGCACAAUGGGCGGAAGCCUGAUGCAGCGACGUCGCGUGAGGGAUGGAGGCCUUCGGGUUGUGAACCUCUUUCGCCGGUGAAGAAGGUCCUGCUCUUUGUGGUGGGGUUGACGGUAGCCGGGUUAUGAAGCGCCGGCUAACUACGUG
RNAcentral lists this ribosomal RNA (500 nucleotides) under uncultured bacterium. RNAcentral describes it as "partial 16S ribosomal RNA". It matches the Rfam family "Bacterial small subunit ribosomal RNA", at positions 28 to 507 of the family's 1533-position model. The record is from RNAcentral.